GAGGGGUGCAAGCGUUGCUCGGAAUUAUUGGGCGUAAAGGGUAGGUAGGUGGUCUCAUUUGUCCGGGGUGAAAUCCUUGGGCUUAACUCAAGAAGUGCCCCGGAAACGGUGAGACUAGAGUACUGGAGAGGGUCGUGGAAUUCCCGGUGUAGCGGUGAAAUGCGUAGAGAUCGGGAGGAACACCAGAGGCGAAGGCGGCGACCUGGACAGUUACUGACACUCAACUACGAAAGCGUGGGGAGCAAACAGGAUUAGAUACCCUGGUAGUCCACGCCGUAAACGAUGAGUAUUAGGCUUGGCGGGUCUUGACCCCUGCUGAGCCGGCGCUAACGCAAUAAAUACUCCGCCUGGGAAGUACGGUCGCAAGACUA
This 371-nucleotide ribosomal RNA is filed under the name uncultured bacterium. Its description in RNAcentral is "bacterial SSU rRNA". It matches the Rfam family "Bacterial small subunit ribosomal RNA", at positions 527 to 896 of the family's 1533-position model. The record is from RNAcentral.